CCCUUAGAUGUUCUGGGCAGCACGCGCGCUACAAUGGUCUUCGCAAACGGAUGCAUUCUCGAAGGAGAAUGCCAAUCUUGGAAUCUAUGCCUUGGUCGGGACAGUUGCUUGCAAUUUUUCGACUCGAACCAGGAAUUCCUUGUAAUCGUGAUUCAUCACAUCACGAUGAAUACGUCCCUGCCCUUUGUACACACCGCCCGUCGCUACUACCGAUUGAAUGGUUCAGUGAGAUAAUCGGACAGAAAACUUGGCAACUGGCAACAGUUGACGUGCAUUUUUGGAAGACGAUCAAACUUGGUCAUUUAGAGGAAGUAAAAGUCGUAACA
Molecule: ribosomal RNA, 326 nt
Filed under: uncultured eukaryote
Lineage: Eukaryota
Description: partial 18S ribosomal RNA
Rfam family: Eukaryotic small subunit ribosomal RNA
Source: RNAcentral